UAGAGGUCCGCCUGCCAGUGACUCUCAGUUUAACGGCCGCGGUAUUUUGACCGUGCAAAGGUAGCGCAAUCACUUGUCUUUUAAAUGGAGACCUGUAUGAAUGGCAUCACGAGGGCUUAACUGUCUCCUUUCUUCAGCCAAUGAAAUUGAUCUCCCCGUGCAGAAGCGGGGAUACCUACAUAAGACGAGAAGACCCUAUGGAGCUUCAGACACCAAAGCAGCCUACGUCAAGCACACUGAUACAAAAGACCAAACUAAGUAGAACCUGCCCUAAUGUCUUCGGUUGGGGCGACCUUGGGGAAAUAAAAAACCCCCAUGAGGAAUGGAAGCAUGCUUUCACAACCAAGAGCUCCCGCUCUAAGAACCAGAACUUCUGACCACUAGAUCCGGCAACGCCGAUCAACGGACCGAGUUACCCUAGGGAUAACAGCGCAAUCUCCUUACAGAGCCCUUAUCGACAAGGGGGUUUACGACCUCGAUGUUGGAUCAGGACAUCCUAAUGGUGCAGCCGCUAUUAAAGGUUCGUUUGUUCAACGAUUAAAGUCCUACGUGAUCUG
Molecule: ribosomal RNA, 557 nt
Filed under: Macropharyngodon meleagris (blackspotted wrasse)
Lineage: Eukaryota; Metazoa; Chordata; Actinopteri; Labriformes; Labridae
Description: partial 16S ribosomal RNA
Rfam family: Bacterial large subunit ribosomal RNA
Source: RNAcentral